AGCAGCCGCGGUAAUUCCAGCUCCAAUAGCGUAUAUUAAAGUUGUUGCAGUUAAAAAGCUCGUAGUUGAAUUUCGGGGUCAGUAGGUUGGUCGUGCCACCGGUACGUACUGGUCUCACUGAUUCCUCCUUCCUGAUGAGCUGUAAUGCCAUUAAUUUGGUGUUGCAGGGAAUCUGGACUGUUACUUUGAAAAAAUUAGAGUGUUUAAAGCAAGCUAACGCUUGAAUACAUUAGCAUGGAAUAAUGAAAUAGGACGUUCGAUCCUAUUUUGUUGGUUUCUAGGAUUGACGUAAUGAUUAAUAGGGAUAGUUGGGGGCAUUAGUAUUCAAUUGUCAGAGGUGAAAUUCUUGGAUUUAUUGAAGACUAACUACUGCGAAAGCAUUUGCCAAGGAUGUUUUCAUUAAUCAAGAACGAAAGUUAGGGGAUCGAAGACGAUCAGAUACCGUCGUAGUCUUAACCAUAAACUAUGCCGACUAGGGAUCGGAUGAUGUUAAUUUUUUAAUGACUCAUUCGGCGCCUUACG
This 522-nucleotide ribosomal RNA is filed under the name uncultured Glomeraceae. Its description in RNAcentral is "SSU rRNA". It matches the Rfam family "Eukaryotic small subunit ribosomal RNA", at positions 569 to 1092 of the family's 1831-position model. Lineage: Eukaryota; Fungi; Glomeromycota; Glomeromycetes; Glomerales; Glomeraceae. The record is from RNAcentral.